UUAUGGCCAUAUCACAUUGAAACAGCAGUCCCCAUAUGAUCACCGAAGUUAAGGAAUGUCAAACCUGGUCAGUACCUAGAUGGGUGACCACUUGGGAAUGCU
RNAcentral lists this ribosomal RNA (102 nucleotides) under Acanthosepion pharaonis. The record is from RNAcentral. Lineage: Eukaryota; Metazoa; Mollusca; Cephalopoda; Sepiida; Sepiidae.